Molecule: long non-coding RNA, 1160 nt
Organism: Pollicipes pollicipes
Lineage: Eukaryota; Metazoa; Arthropoda; Thecostraca; Pollicipedomorpha; Pollicipedidae
Exons: 2
Source: RefSeq, a predicted model, not a curated record
CCGACCGCCGCCCAGCAGCUAGCGCUUGAUCGUAUGGCCCAGCUCUUCCAGGUGGCCCUGGCUGUCGACGGCCUGGGCGCCAGCAAACGGGACAGCCUGGACCAGCUGGGCCGGCUGCGAGUGACGCGGCUCAUCCAGAUCGUCCUGCAGCACAACAGCUAGCGGCGUCAGCCGCAGCCUGACGCCAGGCCGAUCUCCGGACGACGGCCCGGUACAGGUGGCGCCAGCGGUCGCUCUGCACCACCUGCUGCUCACAACACCUCCCGGGCUGUACACAACCCCCGAGCUGUCCACAACACCCGCUGUGCGUUACAUCUGGCCUGCCGGGCGUAGCUGACUGGCGGGAUGGCGGCAUGUCCCCUUGUCCGGUCUUUGUCAGCGGCCCGCUGGAGCGACGGCGGCUGACGGGAUGGCGACAUGGCCCCGCGUCCGGUCUUCGUCAGCGGCCGCUGGAGCGACGGCGGCUGACGGGAUGGCGAUAUGGCCCCUUGUCCGGUCUUUGUCAGCGGCCCGCUGGAGCGACGGCGGCUGACGGGAUGGCGACAUGGCCCCGUGUCCGGUCUUCGUCAGCGGCCCGCUGGAGCGACGGCGGCUGACGGGAUGGCGGCAUGUCCCCUUGUCCGGUCUUUGUCAGCGGCCCGCUGGAGCGACGGCGGCUGACGGGAUGGCGACAUGGCCCCGCGUCCGGUCUUCGUCAGCGGCCGCUGGAGCGACGGCGGCUGACGGGAUGGCGACAUGGCCCCGUGUCCGGUCUGUGUCAGCGGCCGCAGGAGCGACGGCGGCAUCGGUCCGCCGCCGACAGGCUGCAGGGCUGGUGCAGUGUCGAGCGCGUGGGCAUGCCUUGUCGCGUGCGUUGUCGUGCUGCGUUCCGCUGUCGCCGCCGAACCCUUCGAGCGGGAUACCCCGUGAAAUCGGAGGCGCUUGACCUGCGUGGGGUAUGCGCGAGGCGUGCCCUCCGACAUGUCAACUGGCAGUCAUCGUUGGUCGCGUGACGAGGCGAAAAUGCCAGUCAUUGUUCCGUAUCCUCGUGCUGAAAUGACUGUUAGUUCGCCACGUCAUGAAUUCAAGCAUCCUGUCGUGCGCGGGUUUCGUUUUUCAAGCUCGGACGGCCUGUUGUGCUCAUUUCAUUAUGUGAUGAAAUACACGUGACCAAAGCCGGA